RNAcentral lists this RNase P RNA (389 nucleotides) under Actinomadura sp. DC4. Its description in RNAcentral is "RNase P RNA component class A". It matches the Rfam family "Bacterial RNase P class A". From Rfam's summary of the family: Ribonuclease P (RNase P) is a ubiquitous endoribonuclease, found in archaea, bacteria and eukarya as well as chloroplasts and mitochondria. The record is from RNAcentral. Lineage: Bacteria; Bacillati; Actinomycetota; Actinomycetes; Streptosporangiales; Thermomonosporaceae.
CGAGUCGGCCGGGCGGUCGCGUCGGGAUGUCUCCGACGAGGAAGGUCCGGGCUCCACAAGGCAGGGUGGUCGGUAACGCCGACCCGGAGUGAUCCGCGGGACAGUGCCACAGAAAACAGACCGCCUUCGCGUUCUUCGCGGGGGUAAGGGUGAAACGGUGGUGUAAGAGACCACCAGCGCCCCAGGUGACUGGGGCGGCUAGGUAAACCCCACCCGGAGCAAGGUCAAGAAGGGCCCGCGAGAGCGGACCCGCGCAGGCGAUCGAGGGCAGCCGGUCCGAGGCCUGCGGGUAGACCGCUGGAGGCUGUCGGCAACGGCAGCCCUAGAUGGAUGGCCGCCACUCCGCGCGAGCGGAGAGACAGAACCCGGCCUACACGCCGACUCGUCCA